CCUACGGGGGGCUGCAGUGGGGAAUAUUGGACAAUGGGGGCAACCCUGAUCCAGCCAUGCCGCGUGUGUGAAGAAGGCCUUCGGGUUGUAAAGCACUUUAAGUGGGGAGGAAGGCUCGCUGGUUAAUAGUCAGCGGGAGUGACGUUACCCACAGAAUAAGCACCGGCAAACUCCGUGCCAGCAGCCGCGGUAAUACGGAGGGUGCGAGCGUUAAUCGGAAUUACUGGGCGUGUUAAGCAGGUAGGCAGAUCCCUGGGCUCAACCUGGGAGAUGCAUGCGAUACUGGCAGACUUGAAUACGGUAGAGGGGGGUGGAAUUCCAGGUGUAGCGGUGAAAUGCGUAGAGAUCUGGAGGAACACCAGUGGCGAAGGCGGCCCCCUGGACCGAUAUUGACGCUGAGGUGCGAAAGCGUGGGGAGCAAACAGGAUUAGAUACCCCUGUAGUC
This 445-nucleotide ribosomal RNA is filed under the name uncultured bacterium. RNAcentral describes it as "partial 16S ribosomal RNA". It matches the Rfam family "Bacterial small subunit ribosomal RNA", at positions 338 to 795 of the family's 1533-position model. The record is from RNAcentral.